Molecule: ribosomal RNA, 468 nt
Filed under: uncultured bacterium
Lineage: Bacteria
Description: partial 16S ribosomal RNA
Rfam family: Bacterial small subunit ribosomal RNA
Source: RNAcentral
GACGAACGCUGGCGGCGUGCUUAACACAUGCAAGUCGAACGGAAAGACCCUGCUUUUGUGGGGUGCUCGAGUGGCGAACGGGUGUGUAACACGUGAGUAACCUGCCCUUGACUUUGGGAUAACUUCAGGAAACUGGGGCUAAUACCGGAUAGGAGCUCCUGCUGCAUGGUGGGGGUUGGAAAGUUUCGGCGGUUGGGGAUGGACUCGCGGCUUAUCAGCUUGUUGGUGGGGUAGUGGCUUACCAAGGCUUUGACGGGUAGCCGGCCUGAGAGGGUGACCGGCCACAUUGGGACUGAGAUACGGCCCAGACUCCUACGGGAGGCAGCAGUGGGGAAUAUUGCACAAUGGGCGGAAGCCUGAUGCAGCAACGCCGCGUGCGGGAUGACGGCCUUCGGGUUGUAAACCGCUUUCGCCUGUGACGAAGCGUGAGUGACGGUAAUGGGUAAAGAAGCACCGGCUAACUACGUG